Molecule: unclassified non-coding RNA, 24 nt
Filed under: Mus musculus (house mouse)
Lineage: Eukaryota; Metazoa; Chordata; Mammalia; Rodentia; Muridae
Description: oocyte_clustered_small_RNA79
Source: RNAcentral
UGCAGAUGGGCACAGGGGCCCCGU